Molecule: long non-coding RNA, 743 nt
Organism: Aplysia californica (California sea hare)
Lineage: Eukaryota; Metazoa; Mollusca; Gastropoda; Aplysiida; Aplysiidae
Exons: 3
Source: RefSeq, a predicted model, not a curated record
CUGGAGGGUCAAGGAGUCAGCCGGUACGCAUGCCUGGCUGACCACCUACCGCCAGACUGUCCUUCUCCUCUCUGACUUGGCAUUUUGCAGGUGACAGUCAGGUUGUUGUAUCCAUCCGUGGAUGCUAUCUAAGACUAGGUAGAUGGUGACGAUGAUGUGGCUGAUGAGAAUCAAGAGUUUUGCCAGUACAGUGUUGUGUCCUGUUGCUGGACUCAGACGGCGCUAUAGCUCCUCGUUGAGGGGAGACCACCGGUCAGAAAAGAAACAGACAUUUCUGGUGCGCAACGUCUGCUUUCUUACAAGAUGCGACAUCCCGUGAAAAAGUUCAAUCUGACGUUUACACCAGCACAUGAGUCCGACCAACACCCCCAGUUAACCGAAUACAACGUCGAUUUUAGAUCCACUUAUUGGGAGAGAGAUGGAAGACAGAGAGACAGACAGAGAGAGAGAGAGAGAAGGAAUCAAAGGACAACGUGAAUUCCUCGGAACUAUGAGCAAGUUUUACGAGCAAGGAAAAUGCACAACACCUGCAUUAUUGCCCCUUGAGAAAGCAACACAGGCUCCUGCAAAGGAGAGAAGAGAAGGGAAAUAAUAAGAUGACGGCCAAUGAAGAGAAAGUGAAGAAUGUGAAAAAAGAAAUUGUCGCACACCUAUAAAAACGUCAGUCCUUUUCAGAACUUGCAAAAGAAGUGGCGAAAAUGGCAAGAAUAAAUUUCGGAGCGCACCAUUACACAAAACAGUAU